Molecule: ribosomal RNA, 492 nt
Filed under: uncultured bacterium
Lineage: Bacteria
Description: partial 16S ribosomal RNA
Rfam family: Bacterial small subunit ribosomal RNA
Source: RNAcentral
AUUGAACGCUGGCGGCAUGCUUUACACAUGCAAGUCGAACGGUAACAGGCCUUCGGGUGCUGGCGAGUGGCGAACGGGUGAGUAAUGCAUCGGAACGUACCCAGAGGUGGGGGAUAACGCAGCGAAAGCUGUGCUAAUACCGCAUGUGAUCUGAGGAUGAAAGCGGGGGACCGAGCAGCAAUGUUUGGCCUCGCGCCUUUGGAGCGGCCGAUGUCGGAUUAGCUAGUUGGUGGGGUAAAGGCCUACCAAGGCGACGAUCCGUAGCUGGUCUGAGAGGACGACCGGCACCACGGGGCUGGAACGGGGCCCAGGCCCCCGAGGGGGGGCGCAAGGGGGGAUUUUGGAACAGGGGGCGAACGCCGGCCCCAGCAUGGCGGCGGGGGGAAAGAGGCCCUUGGGGUGGAAACCGGUUUUGGGAAGAAAGAAAGGGUGGUCCGCAACCCCGGGGCGUAAAGGCGGGUACCUGAAAAAAAAACACGGGCAACCUCCGUC